GAUGAACGCUGGCGGCGUGCCUAAUACAUGCAAGUCGAGCGAACAGAUAAGGAGCUUGCUCCUUUGACGUUAGCGGCGGACGGGUGUGUAACACGUGGGUAACCUACCUAUAAGACUGGAAUAACUCCGGGAAACCGGGGCUAAUGCCGGAUAACAUUUAGAACCGCAUGGUUCUAAAGUGAAAGAUGGUUUUGCUAUCACUUAUAGAUGGACCCGCGCCGUAUUAGCUAGUUGGUAAGGUAACGGCUUACCAAGGCAACGAUACGUAGCCGACCUGAGAGGGUGAUCGGCCACACUGGAACUGGGACACGGUCCAGAGUACUACGGGAGGCAGCAGUAGGGAAUCGUACGCAAUGGGCGAAAGCCUGACGGAGCAACGCCGCGUGAGUGAUGAAGGUCUUCGGAUCGUAAAACUCUGUUAUUAGGGAAGAACAAAUGUGUAAGUAACUGUGCACGUCUUGACGGUACCUAAUCAGAAAGCCACGGCUAACUACGUG
This 497-nucleotide ribosomal RNA is filed under the name uncultured bacterium. Its description in RNAcentral is "partial 16S ribosomal RNA". It matches the Rfam family "Bacterial small subunit ribosomal RNA", at positions 28 to 507 of the family's 1533-position model. The record is from RNAcentral.